RNAcentral lists this ribosomal RNA (494 nucleotides) under uncultured bacterium. RNAcentral's name for it is "bacterial SSU rRNA". It matches the Rfam family "Bacterial small subunit ribosomal RNA", at positions 28 to 507 of the family's 1533-position model. The record is from RNAcentral.
GAUGAACGCUGGCGGCGUGCCUAAUACAUGCAAGUCGAACGAGGAACUUUAAUCUUCGGAUGGAAGUUUCCUAGUGGCGAACGGGUGAGUAACGCGUUGGUGACCUGCCCCAAAGUGGGGGAUAACAGUUCGAAAGGACUGCUAAUACCGCAUAAGAUCAAUGGGAUUAAAUGCCUGUUGAUUAAAGGCGAAAGUCGCUUUGGGAGGGGCCUGCGUCCCAUCAGCUUGUUGGUAGGGUAAUUGCCUACCAAGGCUAAGACGGGUAGGGGACCUGAGAGGGUGGCCCCCCACACUGGCACUGAAACACGGGCCAGACACCUACGGGAGGCAGCAGUGGGGAAUAUUGCGCAAUGGGGGGAACCCUGACGCAGCAACGCCGCGUGAGUGAAGAAGGCCUUCGGGUCGUAAAGCUCUGUCGAGAGGGAAGAAGUCUCUAGGGAGAAUAUCUUUAGAGGUGACGGUACCUUUUAAGGUAAGCCCCGGCUAACUACGUG